Long non-coding RNA from Eucalyptus grandis, 769 nucleotides. RefSeq lists it as uncharacterized. NCBI's taxonomy places the organism in Eukaryota, Viridiplantae, Streptophyta, Magnoliopsida, Myrtales, Myrtaceae. The record is from RefSeq and is a predicted model, not a curated record. The transcript has 3 exons.
GAAACAGAAUCUAGAAUAUAACCUGUAUGUGAGAAAGUUUCUGUGUACUGUAAUUGUUGAAUCAAUCAACUGCAAGCUUCAUCAUACAUCUGUUCAGCCUUCUUCUAGUUCUAUCUCACAGAACUCUAAGAUAUGAAGAAGAUCAAAAGAAGAAACUAACAACAAGAUCUCUUAUUGAAGACUUGGAGAGAAGUCUCAGAUCAAAGAGAUUCCCUUUUCAGUACACGAACAAUCAAUUCAUACUCCCUCAUCUCUUUUACAUUUUCCUCAGCCCUUUUUAUACUAAGGCUUUCCUUCUUCAACUUCUUUUACAACAGAUUUAACAACUCUUAUUAACAGAACGAUUAAUCUUAGCCACUCGUGUAGCUUGAUCAGCUUCUGAUCUUGGUUUUAAUCUGUUGUAUAACCAGAUCCUUCACGAGGAUUGCCAGCUCAGCUUGGAUCAAGGAUUGCCAGCUCAGUUUUCAGCUUACUCCGAGCUUGCUCUGUUUUUGUCAGCUUCAUUCCUCUGCUUCUAUCUUGCUCAGUUUUCAUCAGGUGAUCAGGAUUCAUCUCUUCCCCAACCUCGUUUGUAUCAUUUUUGGAGGAGAUCCUUCACGAGGAUUGCCAGCUCAGCUUGGAUCAAGGAUUGCCAGCUCAGUUUUCAGCUUACUCCGAGCUUGCUCUGUUUUUGUCAGCUUCAUUCCUCUGCUUCUAUCUUGCUCAGUUUUCAUCAGGUCAGCUUCUCUUCCUUUAUCAGCUUCUCUGUUCUGGCUUUGUUUCUUAACAG